Molecule: ribosomal RNA, 253 nt
Filed under: uncultured bacterium
Lineage: Bacteria
Description: partial 16S ribosomal RNA
Rfam family: Bacterial small subunit ribosomal RNA
Source: RNAcentral
AACGUAGGGGACAAGCGUUAUCCGGAUUUACUGGGCGUAAAGCGCCCGUAGGCGGCCUGACAAGUUGGACGUGAAAGCUCCUGGCUUAACUGGGAGAGGCCGUUCAAAACUGUCAAGCUAGAGUCUGGAAGAGGAGAGCGGAAUUCCCGGUGUAGCGGUGGAAUGCGUAGAGAUCGGGAGGAACACCAGUGGCGAAAGCGGCUCUCUGGUCCAAAACUGACGCUGAGGGGCGAAAGCGUGGGGAGCGAUCCGG